Molecule: small RNA, 798 nt
Filed under: uncultured Fusarium
Lineage: Eukaryota; Fungi; Ascomycota; Sordariomycetes; Hypocreales; Nectriaceae
Description: eukaryotic LSU rRNA
Rfam family: Eukaryotic large subunit ribosomal RNA (bases 522-798)
Source: RNAcentral
CUUGGUCAUUUAGAGGAAGUAAAAGUCGUAACAAGGUCUCCGUUGGUGAACCAGCGGAGGGAUCAUUACCGAGUACUAUAACUCAUAACCCUUUGUGAACCUUUAUACCUGUUGCUUCGGCGGCGCGCCUCCCGGGGCGUGCCCGCCGGCAUUAUCAGAAUCUCUGUUCGAACCCGACGAUACAUCUGAGUGUUCUAAGCGAACUGUUAAAACUUUCAACAACGGAUCUCUUGGCUCCAGCAUCGAUGAAGAACGCAGCGAAACGCGAUAUGUAAUGUGAAUUGCAGAAUUCAGUGAAUCAUCGAAUCUUUGAACGCACAUUGCGCCCGCCAGUAUUCUGGCGGGCAUGCCUGUUCGAGCGUCAUUUCAACCCUCAAGCCCAGCUUGGUGUUGGGACUCGCGAGUCAAAUCGCGUUCCCCAAAUUGAUUGGCGGUCACGUCGAGCUUCCAUAGCGUAGUAGUAAAACCCUCGUUACUGGUAAUCGUCGCGGCCACGCCGUUAAACCCCAACUUCUGAAUGUUGACCUCGGAUCAGGUAGGAAUACCCGCUGAACUUAAGCAUAUCAAUAAGCGGAGGAAAAGAAACCAACAGGGAUUGCCCUAGUAACGGCGAGUGGAGCGGCAAUAGCUCAAAUUUGAAAUCUGGCUCUCGGGCCCGAGUUGUAAUUUGUAGAGGAUACUUUUGAUGCGGUGCCUUCCGAGUUCCCUGGAACGGGACGCCAUAGAGGGUGAGAGCCCCGUCUGGUUGGAUGCCAAAUCUCUGUAAAGUUCCUUCGACGAGUCGAGUUGUUUGGGAAU